GCCGGAGUAGCUCAGGUGGUUAGAGCGUCGGAAUCAUAAUCCGCAGGUCGGGGGUUCAAGUCCCUCCUCCGGUA
This 74-nucleotide transfer RNA is filed under the name Bacteroidota bacterium. Its description in RNAcentral is "Bacteroidetes bacterium (activated sludge metagenome) tRNA-Met". It matches the Rfam family "tRNA". From Rfam's summary of the family: Transfer RNA (tRNA) molecules are approximately 80 nucleotides in length. Their secondary structure includes four short double-helical elements and three loops (D, anti-codon, and T loops). The record is from RNAcentral. Lineage: Bacteria; Pseudomonadati; Bacteroidota. RNAcentral also lists the same sequence under 3 other names.